RNAcentral lists this small nuclear RNA (153 nucleotides) under Bigelowiella natans. RNAcentral describes it as "u1 snRNA". Lineage: Eukaryota; Cercozoa; Chlorarachniophyceae. The record is from RNAcentral.
CGUACUUACCUGGUCGGGAAAUUGUUCUGAAUUUUCUUUAACUAAUCUAAGUUCAGGGAUUUUAUAUACCCACGACAUAAUUUUUGCAGGAUUUCUGCUAUUAAAGCCACUAUGCACUCCAACUUAUUUUUCACAUUUAAAGUGAAGUUAUCG